RNAcentral lists this ribosomal RNA (2874 nucleotides) under Serratia marcescens. RNAcentral's name for it is "23S ribosomal RNA". It matches the Rfam family "Bacterial large subunit ribosomal RNA". The record is from RNAcentral. Lineage: Bacteria; Pseudomonadati; Pseudomonadota; Gammaproteobacteria; Enterobacterales; Yersiniaceae.
GGGUUGUGAGGUUAAGUGACUAAGCGUACACGGUGGAUGCCUAGGCAGUCAGAGGCGAUGAAGGGCGUGCUAAUCUGCGAAAAGCGUCGGUAAGGUGAUAUGAACCGUUACAACCGGCGAUACCCGAAUGGGGAAACCCAGUGUGUUUCGACACACUAUCAUGUCAUGAAUACAUAGUGGCAUGAGGCGAACCGGGGGAACUGAAACAUCUAAGUACCCCGAGGAAAAGAAAUCAACCGAGAUUCCCCCAGUAGCGGCGAGCGAACGGGGAGGAGCCCAGAACCUGAAUCGGCUUGUGUGUUAGUGGAAGCGUCUGGAAAGUCGCGCAGCAAAGGGUGAUAGCCCCGUACACUAAAAUGCACAGGUCGUGAGUUCGAUGAGUAGGGCGGGACACGUGACAUCCUGUCUGAAUAUGGGGGGACCAUCCUCCAAGGCUAAAUACUCCUGACUGACCGAUAGUGAACCAGUACCGUGAGGGAAAGGCGAAAAGAACCCCGGCGAGGGGAGUGAAAUAGAACCUGAAACCGUGUACGUACAAGCAGUGGGAGCACCUUCGUGGUGUGACUGCGUACCUUUUGUAUAAUGGGUCAGCGACUUAUAUUUUGUAGCAAGGUUAACCGUAUAGGGGAGCCGUAGGGAAACCGAGUCUUAACUGGGCGAAUAGUUGCAAGGUAUAGACCCGAAACCCGGUGAUCUAGCCAUGGGCAGGUUGAAGGUUGGGUAACACUAACUGGAGGACCGAACCGACUAAUGUUGAAAAAUUAGCGGAUGACUUGUGGCUGGGGGUGAAAGGCCAAUCAAACCGGGAGAUAGCUGGUUCUCCCCGAAAGCUAUUUAGGUAGCGCCUCGUGAACUCAUCUUCGGGGGUAGAGCACUGUUUCGGCUAGGGGGCCAUCCCGGCUUACCAAACCGAUGCAAACUCCGAAUACCGAAGAAUGUUAUCACGGGAGACACACGGCGGGUGCUAACGUCCGUCGUGAAGAGGGAAACAACCCAGACCGCCAGCUAAGGUCCCAAAGUCAUGGUUAAGUGGGAAACGAUGUGGGAAGGCACAGACAGCCAGGAUGUUGGCUUAGAAGCAGCCAUCAUUUAAAGAAAGCGUAAUAGCUCACUGGUCGAGUCGGCCUGCGCGGAAGAUGUAACGGGGCUAAACCAUGCACCGAAGCUGCGGCAGCGACGCUUAGGCGUUGUUGGGUAGGGGAGCGUUCUGUAAGCCGUUGAAGGUGGCCUGUGAGGGUUGCUGGAGGUAUCAGAAGUGCGAAUGCUGACAUAAGUAACGAUAAAGCGGGUGAAAAGCCCGCUCGCCGGAAGACCAAGGGUUCCUGUCCAACGUUAAUCGGGGCAGGGUGAGUCGACCCCUAAGGCGAGGCUGAAAAGCGUAGUCGAUGGGAAACAGGUUAAUAUUCCUGUACUUGGUGUUACUGCGAAGGGGGGACGGAGAAGGCUAGGCUAGCCGGGCGACGGUUGUCCCGGUUUAAGCGUGUAGGGGGUGUGACCUGGUAAAUCCGGUUGCAUACUAACCCUGAGGCGUGAUGACGAUGCACUACGGUGCAGAAGUAGUUGAUGCCCUGCUUCCAGGAAAAUCCUCUAAGCUCCAGGUAACAUUNNNNNNNNNNNNNNNNNNNNNNNNNNNNNNNNNNNNNNNNNNNNNNNNNNNNNNNNNNNNNNNNNNNNNNNNNNNNNNNNNNNNAAGCCAGUCGAAGAUACCAGCUGGCUGCAACUGUUUAAUAAAAACACAGCACUGUGCAAACACGAAAGUGGACGUAUACGGUGUGACGCCUGCCCGGUGCUGGAAGGUUAAUUGAUGGGGUCAGCCGCAAGGCGAAGCUCUUGAUCGAAGCCCCAGUAAACGGCGGCCGUAACUAUAACGGUCCUAAGGUAGCGAAAUUCCUUGUCGGGUAAGUUCCGACCUGCACGAAUGGCGUAAUGAUGGCCAGGCUGUCUCCACCCGAGACUCAGUGAAAUUGAACUCGCUGUGAAGAUGCAGUGUACCCGCGGCAAGACGGAAAGACCCCGUGAACCUUUACUAUAGCUUGACACUGAACAUUGAGCCUUGAUGUGUAGGAUAGGUGGGAGGCUUUGAAGCGUGGACGCCAGUCUGCGUGGAGCCAUCCUUGAAAUACCACCCUUUAAUGUUUGAUGUUCUAACUCUGCCCCAUAAUCUGGGGUGAGGACAGUGUCUGGUGGGUAGUUUGACUGGGGCGGUCUCCUCCCAAAGAGUAACGGAGGAGCACGAAGGUUAGCUAAUCACGGUCGGACAUCGUGAGGUUAGUGCAAAGGCAUAAGCUAGCUUGACUGCGAGAGUGACGGCUCGAGCAGGUACGAAAGUAGGUCUUAGUGAUCCGGUGGUUCUGAAUGGAAGGGCCAUCGCUCAACGGAUAAAAGGUACUCCGGGGAUAACAGGCUGAUACCGCCCAAGAGUUCAUAUCGACGGCGGUGUUUGGCACCUCGAUGUCGGCUCAUCACAUCCUGGGGCUGAAGUAGGUCCCAAGGGUAUGGCUGUUCGCCAUUUAAAGUGGUACGCGAGCUGGGUUUAGAACGUCGUGAGACAGUUCGGUCCCUAUCUGCCGUGGGCGUUGGAAGAUUGAGAGGGGUUGCUCCUAGUACGAGAGGACCGGAGUGAACGCACCACUGGUGUUCGGGUUGUCAUGCCAAUGGCAUUGCCCGGUAGCUAAGUGCGGAAAAGAUAAGCGCUGAAAGCAUCUAAGCGCGAAACUUGCCUCAAGAUGAGUCUUCCCUGGGCCUUUAAGGCCCCUGAAGGAACGUUUAAGACUAAGACGUUGAUAGGCUGGGUGUGUAAGUGCAGCGAUGCAUUGAGCUAACCAGUACUAAUGAUCCGUGAGGCUUAACCUUACAACACCGAAGGUGUUUUAG